This is a long non-coding RNA of Cynocephalus volans (Philippine flying lemur), 680 nucleotides long. RefSeq lists it as uncharacterized. The transcript is spliced from 4 exons. The record is from RefSeq and is a predicted model, not a curated record. Lineage: Eukaryota; Metazoa; Chordata; Mammalia; Dermoptera; Cynocephalidae.
CCAGCUCUUAACCAGAGCAUGCUAUUUUACAAGAUCAAAAGACAUGCCAGGGAAAUACACAAGGCCACCUCUCAGCAUGAGAGAGAACCAAUACGAGGAGGCCAUAGCAUCCCUGCCGGCCAGAGCAAACACUGGGUGGAGAAGCCUGGCUGGAGGCCAGCGGGUCACUCACCACAUUCCCCCUCAAGUCUGUUUCUUCUGACAGCCUGAGACGUGCAGAUUUGAUCCUACCAGCAACCCCUGGAGCCUCAGGUUUGAAUAACAAUAUCCUAAAAUGGUGGAUCCUUUGUCAGCCUGAGUCCCUGAGUGGCUACAAGGAGCAGAGCCUUUCUAAUGAACCUACACUGGACGUGCAGAAUGAGCAAGAAAUAAAUCUCAGAACCCAGGCUGCACGUCUGCUGUGCACUUCCAUGGUUACCCGAACUUAGAGGUCUGGUCUCCUGGAUCCUCAUGAGCCUCCCUCGGUUACCAUGGCUACAACACACGGUUUGUGCAAACAGCAUUUCUGAUCUCAUCUACUGCUUGCGCAUUUGGAAAGUAAGGCAUUUCGAGAACCAAUUCACUUGGAAACAUUAAAAUCAAUUAACACGUUUAGAGUGUCGUGACCAAGCAAAAUAAGCCACAAUGCAGGAACCUCAUUUUCCUCCCAUAGGAAAAAGAAUGACUGUUUGAAAAAUCAU